AUUGAACGCUGGCGGCAGGCCUAACACAUGCAAGUCGAACGAGUGGCGGACGGGUGAGUAAUGUCUGGGAAACUGCCUGAUGGAGGGGGAUAACUACUGGAAACGGUCGCACAUCCCGCAUACCCUCGUAUGUGCCCAGAUGGGUUGAGCUAGUAGGUGGGGUAAAGGCUCACCUAGGCGACGAUCCCUAGCUGGUCUGAGAGGAUGACCAGCCACACUGGAACUGAGACACGGUACAGACGCCUACGGGAGGCAGCAGUGGGGAAUAGUGCACAAUGGGCGCAAGCCUGAUGCAGCCAUGCCGCGUGUAUGAAGAAGGCCUUCGGGUUGUAAAGUACUUUCAGCGGGGAGGCGUUACCCGCAGAAGAAGCACCGGCUAACUCCGUGCCAGCCGCCGCGGUAAUAC
RNAcentral lists this ribosomal RNA (406 nucleotides) under uncultured bacterium. RNAcentral describes it as "partial 16S ribosomal RNA". It matches the Rfam family "Bacterial small subunit ribosomal RNA", at positions 30 to 526 of the family's 1533-position model. The record is from RNAcentral.